This 365-nucleotide unclassified non-coding RNA is filed under the name fungal sp. RNAcentral's name for it is "partial internal transcribed spacer region". The stretch from base 1 to 46 matches the Rfam family "Eukaryotic small subunit ribosomal RNA", at positions 1786 to 1831 of the family's 1831-position model. Lineage: Eukaryota; Fungi. The record is from RNAcentral.
AAGUCGUAACAAGGUUUCCGUAGGUGAACCUGCGGAAGGAUCAUUAUCAUAAAUGAUUUAUCUCAUAAACCAAUUAUUAUUUAAAUGUGAACUAUGUAAAGUAUUUAGUUUUAGGUGUUUUUAGGUAGUGUAGGUUGAUUCCUAUAUCUAUCCGAUCACUUGGAACUAAUUCUUUAAUCUUUAUUUUUAACCAAUUGAACCCUAAUAACUAAUUGUAGUUAUUCAUAUUACUUAUUAUUUAGUACUGAUAUAAUUUUCUAAAUUAUCUUCACGGAUAGUUUGAAAAUCAUUAUUUUACGAAAUAAUUCAUUAUGAACAACUCUUAGCAACGGAUAUCUUGGUUCUCGUAACGAUGAAGACGCAGC